RNAcentral lists this ribosomal RNA (1508 nucleotides) under Meidiama etrusca. RNAcentral describes it as "SSU rRNA". It matches the Rfam family "Eukaryotic small subunit ribosomal RNA", at positions 168 to 1702 of the family's 1831-position model. The record is from RNAcentral. Lineage: Eukaryota; Metazoa; Platyhelminthes; Proseriata; Archimonocelididae.
UACAUGCAACAAAGCCCUUCUCUUACGGGAAGGGCGCACUUAUUAGAUCAAAACCAAUCGGGGCUUGCUCCGCAGGUUUGAUGACUCUGGAUAAUUUUUCUGAUCGCACGAUCUUUGCGUCGGCGACGUAUCUUUCAAAUGUCUGCCCUAUCAACUUAAGAUGGUAGGUGAUUUGCCUACCAUGGUUAUAACGGGUAACGGGGAAUCAGGGUUCGAUUCCGGAGAGGGAGCCUGAGAAACAGCUACCACAUCCAAGGAAGGCAGCAGGCGCGCAAAUUACCCACUCUCAGAACGAGGAGGUAGUGACGAAAAAUAACGAUGCGGGACUCAAUCGAGGCCCCGUAAUUGGAAUGAGUACACUUUAAAUCCUUUAACAAGGAUCAAUUGGAGGGCAAGUCUGGUGCCAGCAGCCGCGGUAAUUCCAGCUCCAAUAGCGUAUAUUAAAGUUGUUGCAGUUAAAAAGCUCGUAGUUGGAUCUGAGGAUUCGGACGGAUGGUUCACUUUAGGGUGUUACUGUCUGUUCAGCCUACAUAGUCGUGGAUAUCUUAGGUGCUCUUCAUUGAGUGCUUUUGGUGCCCGACGCGUUUACUUUGAAAAAAUUAGAGUGCUUAAAGCAGGCCUUGUGCUUGUAUAGUGUUGCAUGGAAUAAUGAAAUAGGACUUCGAUUCUAUUUUGUUGGUUUUCGGAAUCGAAGUAAUGAUUAACAGGGACAGACGGGGGCAUUUGUAUGGCGGCGUUAGAGGUGAAAUUCUUGGAUCGCCGCCAGACAAUCUACUGCGAAAGCAUUUGCCAAGAAUGUUUUCACUAAUCAAGAACGAAAGUCAGAGGUUCGAAGACGAUCAGAUACCGUCCUAGUUCUGACCAUAAAUGAUGCCAACUGACGAUCCAUAGUGGUUGCUUGUACGACCCUAUGGGCAGCCCUCGGGAAACCAAAGUUUUUGGGUUCCGGGGGAAGUAUGGUUGCAAAGCUCAAACUUGAAGGAAUUGACGGAAGGGCACCACCAGGAGUGGAGCCUGCGGCUUAAUUUGACUCAACACGGGAAAACUCACCCGGCCCGGACACUGUAAGGAUUGACAGAUUAACAGCUCUUUCUUGAUUUGGUGGUUGGUGGUGCAUGGCCGUUCUUAGUUGGUGGAGCGAUUUGUCUGGUUAAUUCCGAUAACGAACGAGACUCUGACCUGCUAACUAGUACGCUGGUAAAAGCAGGUGCCGACUUCUUAGAGGGACUAACGUCGUUUAGACGUAUGAGAAAGAGCAAUAACAGGUCUGUGAUGCCCUUAGAUGUUCGGGGCCGCACGCGCGCUACACUGACGGCAGCAGCUAGUAUGAUCCUGAACUGAGAAGUUUGGGCAACCUGCAUGAAACGCCGUCGUGACAGGGAUCGGGGCUUGUAAUUGUUCCCCGUGAACGAGGAAUUCCCAGUAAGCGCAAGUCAUAAGCUUGUGCUGAUUACGUCCCUGCCCUUUGUACACACCGCCCGUCGCUACUACCGAUUGAAUGGUUUAGU